CUGCUGCCUUCCGUAGGAGUUUGGGCCGUGUCUCAGUCCCAAUGUGGCCGUCCACCCUCUCAGGCCGGCUACUGAUCGUCGCUUUGGUAGGCCGUUACCCUGCCAACUGGCUAAUCAGACGCGGGUCCAUCGUAUACCACCGGAGUUUUUCACACUGCGCCAUGCGGCGCUGUGCGCUUAUGCGGUUUUAGCACCUAUUUCUAAGUGUUAUCCCCCUGUAUACGGCAGGUUACCCACGCGUUACUCACCCGUCCGCCACUAAG
RNAcentral lists this ribosomal RNA (263 nucleotides) under uncultured bacterium. RNAcentral's name for it is "partial 16S ribosomal RNA". The record is from RNAcentral.